Molecule: small nucleolar RNA, 132 nt
Filed under: Castor canadensis (American beaver)
Lineage: Eukaryota; Metazoa; Chordata; Mammalia; Rodentia; Castoridae
Description: Small nucleolar RNA SNORA51 (ENSCCNG00000000777.1)
Rfam family: Small nucleolar RNA SNORA51
About the family: ACA51 is a member of the H/ACA class of snoRNA that guide the sites of modification of uridines to pseudouridines.
Source: Rfam by way of RNAcentral
AGCCUCCUGGUGCUUACCACAGGCUGUGUUCUUCUACUGGCUGUAUAGAAGGAGGAGGCAAAGUAAACCUACCCCUUGUGCACCUCAGCCCAGACCCUGAGCCUAGUCUGUAUUGUGAAUGGAUACACAUGA